ACGUUAGCGGCGGACGGGUGAGUAACACGUGGGUGACCUACCUAUAAGACUGGGAUAACUCCGGGAAACCGGGGCUAAUACCGGAUAACACAUGAAACCGCAUGGUUUCAUGAUGAAAGACGGUUUUGCUGUCACUUAUAGAUGGACCCGCGGCGUAUUAGCUAGUUGGUAAGGUAACGGCUUACCAAGGCAACGAUACGUAGCCGACCUGAGAGGGUGAUCGGCCACACUGGAACUGAGACACGGUCCAGACUCCUACGGGAGGCAGCAGUA
Molecule: ribosomal RNA, 273 nt
Filed under: uncultured Staphylococcus sp.
Lineage: Bacteria; Bacillati; Bacillota; Bacilli; Caryophanales; Staphylococcaceae
Description: partial 16S ribosomal RNA
Rfam family: Bacterial small subunit ribosomal RNA
Source: RNAcentral